Molecule: long non-coding RNA, 1131 nt
Organism: Pseudopipra pipra
Lineage: Eukaryota; Metazoa; Chordata; Aves; Passeriformes; Pipridae
Exons: 2
Source: RefSeq, a predicted model, not a curated record
CAUUACCCAGCCAGGAUCCCUGUGACAGAUAAUCAAACCUCUUCCCUACCUUUCCUUUAUUAAUCCUCACUUAAUCCUCUUUCAAAUUUUCACUGCAGCUUUCAUUAAGGGAAGUCUGAUUUGGGAAAGGCAUCAAAAGGCAUCACCUUGACACUUGUCACUCCAGACCCCCGCGAGCACACCUGCACAGAGCAGCAGCACUUCAGCAAACCCCAGGGCUCUGCUGUUCCCUCAUCCCCAUCUGACACAGGGCAGAGACCCCAGAAGCCAAAAAGACAAAUACCUGACACUAUAAAAAAGUCAAGUGGCCACCCAGCUCCCAGGCCUGCUACUUGAACCAAGAGCUGAAGGGAACUGUCUGCUCCUCCUCUGCUGUGCCACCGCACCAUGGAUACCUGACACUGCUGGGAAUCCAGGGGAAAACAAAGUUAGAGCUUUAAAUAGCUCUGGAGCAGAGCUCCUGCAGCCCAGGAUUGAGACACAGGAGCAGCCUGGUGGGACAGAUGCCUGCCCCCACUAUCAGCAGCGUGGUGGGACAGGUGCCUGCACCAGUGACCAGUUAAACAAGCUCCAGCUCCAGCUCCUUCUCUCCACUUUGUUUUAUUCCAUCUCUCAAAGCUUGGGGCUGUUUUUCCCCAGCUGCUGAUCAUUCCUAACAUCGUCUUCCAGCCCACAUUCUCCUCCUUUGCCAUCCCAUUGUGAGGUCACGAUACAUUUGUGACAAAGUUUCCAUGGCAACAGACUGAUGACAUAAACAUAAGCUGAGGAUUUCUCUGCAAAGCGGGAGGAGCAGGAGAUGGGCUGCAAGGGAGCUGCUCCUCAAACAGCUCUCUUCAGUAAUAGCUGUGGGAAUAGAGAACAUUACUGGCAAAACUUCUCCACAGGUCCAGAUUCUCCCAAGAGGGGCAGGUGCCCAACGCCCCUGAAGCCCACCCUCUCUGUUCCUCUCUGGAGCACCGCGGCUGGAAGACGCAGCCUGGCUGUCAGCAAUGGGUUCCCGAGCUCAGGAGGGCAUUGCUGGAGCAAGAAACAUCUCCUGCACGUCCAGACCAGUCUGCUCAGGCCAUGAGUCGCAGCUCACUGCAGUAAAUUAAAGCUUUUAAUGCUUCCUUUUUCAAAAAAAUGGAAAAA